RNAcentral lists this ribosomal RNA (254 nucleotides) under uncultured bacterium. Its description in RNAcentral is "partial 16S ribosomal RNA". It matches the Rfam family "Bacterial small subunit ribosomal RNA", at positions 524 to 776 of the family's 1533-position model. The record is from RNAcentral.
UACGGAGGGUGCGAGCGUUGUCCGGAAUCAUUGGGCGUAAAGGGCGCGUAAGUGGCCCGGUCAGUUCGUGGUGAAAGCGCGGGGCUCAACCCUGCGUCGGCCAUGAAUACUGCCGCGGCUGGAGCACUGUAGAGGCAGGCGGAAUUCCGGGUGUAGCGGUGGAAUGCGUAGAGAUCCGGAAGAACACCGGUGGCGAAGGCGGCCUGCUGGGCAGUUGCUGACACUGAGGCGCGACAGCGUGGGGAGCAAACAGG